Molecule: ribosomal RNA, 394 nt
Filed under: Actinastrum hantzschii
Lineage: Eukaryota; Viridiplantae; Chlorophyta; Trebouxiophyceae; Chlorellales; Chlorellaceae
Description: bacterial SSU rRNA
Rfam family: Bacterial small subunit ribosomal RNA
Source: RNAcentral
CCGAUAAGGACAUACCGCGUGAGGGAGGAGGUCCUUGGAUUGUAAACCUCUUUUAUCAGGGAAGAAGUUCUGACGGUACCUGAUGAAUAAGCAUCGGCUAACUCCGUGCCAGCAGCCGCGGUAAUACGGAGGAUGCAAGCGUUAUCCGGAAUUAUUGGGCGUAAAGCGUCCGUAGGUGGUUAUGCAAGUCUGCCGUUAAAGAAUGGAGCUUAACUCCAUAGGAGCGGUGGAAACUGCAAGACUAGAGUACAGUAGGGGUAGCAGGAAUUCCCAGUGUAGCGGUGAAAUGCGUAGAUAUUGGGAAGAACAUCGGUGGCGAAAGCGUGCUACUGGGCUAAACUGACACUGAGGGACGAAAGCUAGGGUAGCGAAAGGGAUUAGAUACCCCUGUAGU